RNAcentral lists this ribosomal RNA (729 nucleotides) under Mycolicibacterium peregrinum. RNAcentral's name for it is "bacterial SSU rRNA". It matches the Rfam family "Bacterial small subunit ribosomal RNA", at positions 94 to 836 of the family's 1533-position model. Lineage: Bacteria; Bacillati; Actinomycetota; Actinomycetes; Mycobacteriales; Mycobacteriaceae. The record is from RNAcentral.
AGUGGCGAACGGGUGAGUAACACGUGGGUGAUCUGCCCUGCACUUUGGGAUAAGCCUGGGAAACUGGGUCUAAUACCGAAUAUGACCGCGCACUUCCUGGUGUGUGGUGGAAAGCUUUUGCGGUGUGGGAUGGGCCCGCGGCCUAUCAGCUUGUUGGUGGGGUAAUGGCCUACCAAGGCGACGACGGGUAGCCGGCCUGAGAGGGUGACCGGCCACACUGGGACUGAGAUACGGCCCAGACUCCUACGGGAGGCAGCAGUGGGGAAUAUUGCACAAUGGGCGCAAGCCUGAUGCAGCGACGCCGCGUGAGGGAUGACGGCCUUCGGGUUGUAAACCUCUUUCAAUAGGGACGAAGCGCAAGUGACGGUACCUAUAGAAGAAGGACCGGCCAACUACGUGCCAGCAGCCGCGGUAAUACGUAGGGUCCGAGCGUUGUCCGGAAUUACUGGGCGUAAAGAGCUCGUAGGUGGUUUGUCGCGUUGUUCGUGAAAACUCACAGCUUAACUGUGGGCGUGCGGGCGAUACGGGCAGACUAGAGUACUGCAGGGGAGACUGGAAUUCCUGGUGUAGCGGUGGAAUGCGCAGAUAUCAGGAGGAACACCGGUGGCGAAGGCGGGUCUCUGGGCAGUAACUGACGCUGAGGAGCGAAAGCGUGGGGAGCGAACAGGAUUAGAUACCCUGGUAGUCCACGCCGUAAACGGUGGGUACUAGGUGUGGGUUUCCUUCCUU